This 547-nucleotide ribosomal RNA is filed under the name Euryarchaeota archaeon UBA107. RNAcentral describes it as "bacterial SSU rRNA". It matches the Rfam family "Archaeal small subunit ribosomal RNA", at positions 917 to 1467 of the family's 1478-position model. The record is from RNAcentral. Lineage: Archaea; Methanobacteriati; Thermoplasmatota; Candidatus Poseidoniia; Candidatus Poseidoniales.
GCCGGAAAACUCACCAAGGCCGACGGACAUAUGAAGAUCAGCGUAACGAGCUUAUCGGAUUGUUCGAGAGGUGGUGCAUGGCCGUCGUCAGUUCGUACUGUAAAGCGUUCUGUUAAGUCAGAUAACGAACGAGACCCGCAUCCUUAUUUGCGACCCUCAUGUCCGCAUGAGGCGCACCAUAGGGAGACCGCUGGUGUGAAACCAGAGGAAGGCGCGGGCAACGACAGGUCAGUAUGCCCCGAAUGUCUUGGGCUACACGCGCGCUACAAAGGACAGGACAAUGGGAAGCCACGCCGAGAGGCGGCGCUACCCCGAAACCUGUUCAUAGUUCGGAUCGAGGGCUGUAACUCGCCCUCGUGAAGCUGGAUUCCGUAGUAAUCGUGUUUCAACAUAGCACGGUGAAUAUGCCCCUGCUCCUUGCACACACCGCCCGUCAAACCAUCUUAGUUGGGGAUGGAUGAGGCUGCGUUUAAAUGGCGUAUUCGAGUCUGUCUUCGACAAGGAGGGUUAAGUCGUAACAAGGUAUCUGUAGGGGAACCUGCAGAUG